UCUUAUGCUUGCAAACAGAGAUGGGCUGGUUGAAGGUGUGAAGGCUGGAGACGGCCUUGGCUGCACAGACCGUGAGACGUUCAGAUCUCACAAGGAGGAAGCAGGGCAAAAAAGAUCUCAACUCUAGACUUCAGGAGAGCAAACUUUGGCCUCUUCAGGGAUCUACUUGGAGAAAUCCCAUGGGUUAAGGCCUCAGAGAAAAAGAGGGCCCAAAGGAGCUGAGGGGAAGGACCCCAGAAGUGGCUGCCACCACCAAUUACAGAGGGAUCUUACCUGACUAGCUCCGACAAGAUGCCUAUAUCCCAGAUGACCCAAACAAGAUAAAAGAAUACAAAGCUUUGAUCUUCUGGUGCUUAUUGCACAAAAACAUCUGUGGAGUCUCUGCAACUCUCUGAAAAUUGAAAGCGCACACAACAUUGCUUCAGGUCUCCAGGUGGUGGCACCCCAGCCCUGUUUUUCUGUAAGGCAAUUAAAAAAGAAGAAAAAAAAAAAAAAAAAAAAAAAGGAAAAAAAAAUAAGCCACCUAAGAAGUCUAGGGGAGGCAAAUGUUUUGUUUCUUAUAAUUUGCUUCAUUUGUAGAUAAGAAUCUAAACUUUAAGAGCCAUACUUGGAAGGAAUCAUUAGUAAAACAAACCAAGGACUUAUCAUUGUUACCUAUGUUACUUCAUUUCUACUCUUUAAACUUUUUUAAAUAGUCUGUCGUUCUGUGCAUAGAGACUAUUUAUUAUUUCAUGCACUAUUUACUCAUGUUAAAAAUGAAGUGACAGAGAAUAGAGGCAAAGGUCUCCUGCUUGCAAGGAACAGUGGAUAAAUAUAUUUGUUUGUACUAUGGGUUUGCAGUUCCACUAGAAGGAACACUUGACAUUUUGAUGAGCGUCUCCAGGGAGAAAAGGUACUAACUUCAGAACUUAGUUUUAAUUAUACUAAGGAGAUUACAUUAUUCAAAAGCAUCCCACUGGUAAGGUGCAGCAUUUCCUGAAACAGUUUAGUGGAAAAUGCCACAUUAAUCAGUUCAGUAUUUCACUCAAAUGGCUUAAUGAUGGGAAGAAAAGUUGAAAGCACUGUAGUAUAAAAACAAAAAGAGACAGAAUGUUCAUUUAAGGGAAUAGGAUCACAUUUAAAUGACCUCUUUCAAGUGUACGUUUUUGAGAGGGAAAUGACAGUGGUGAGGAGGCAAUACUGUCUUAUUCUUGUUUGUAUGCUGAUACCCAUGGUGGUUAUGGUGCUGUGCUCAGAUGAAAAAAAGACACCAGGCACGCUUGUAAAGCUCACAGCUCUGCAAUUCAUGCCCAUGGCCCAUGACCAGGUACAGCAUAAAUAUAAUCUGGUCUAAAACAAUUGAAAUGUUGGCAUUCAGGCUGUCAGGCUUGGAACUCUAUUUAACGAAGGAGGCAGAGCAAGCAGCAAGCAUCUCCAGACCUGCUUUGGUUUGUCUGCCAUUACA
Long non-coding RNA from Anas platyrhynchos (mallard), 1444 nucleotides. RefSeq lists it as uncharacterized. The record is from RefSeq and is a predicted model, not a curated record. Lineage: Eukaryota; Metazoa; Chordata; Aves; Anseriformes; Anatidae.